UACGGAGGGUGCAAGCGUUGUCCGGAUUUAUUGGGUUUAAAGGGUGCGUAGGUGGCUUGUUAAGUCCGGGGUGAAAGCCCACAGCUCAACUGUGGAACUGCCCUGAAUACUGGCGAGCUUGAGUACAGACGAGGUAGGCGGAAUUGAAGAUGUAGCGGUGAAAUGCUUAGAUAUCUUCAAGAACACCGAUUGCGUAGGCAGCUUACUAGGCUGUAACUGACGCUGAGGCACGAAAGCGUGGGGAGCGAACAGG
This 253-nucleotide ribosomal RNA is filed under the name uncultured bacterium. RNAcentral's name for it is "partial 16S ribosomal RNA". It matches the Rfam family "Bacterial small subunit ribosomal RNA", at positions 524 to 776 of the family's 1533-position model. The record is from RNAcentral.